RNAcentral lists this ribosomal RNA (842 nucleotides) under Torula camporesii. RNAcentral describes it as "Torula sp. JL-2019c partial large subunit ribosomal RNA". It matches the Rfam family "Eukaryotic large subunit ribosomal RNA", at positions 87 to 945 of the family's 3401-position model. Lineage: Eukaryota; Fungi; Ascomycota; Dothideomycetes; Pleosporales; Torulaceae. The record is from RNAcentral.
CGGCGAGUGAAGCGGCACAGCUCAAAUUUGAAAUCUGGCCCCUUUGGGGUCCGAGUUGUAAUUUGCAGAGGGAGCUUUUGGUGUCGGCCGUGGUCUAAGUUCCUUGGAACAGGACGUCACAGAGGGUGAGAAUCCCGUACGUGGCCGCCGGCCUUCGCCUUGUAAAGCCCCUUCGACGAGUCGAGUUGUUUGGGAAUGCAGCUCUAAAUGGGAGGUAAAUUUCUUCUAAAGCUAAAUACCCGCCAGAGACCGAUAGCGCACAAGUAGAGUGAUCGAAAGAUGAAAAGCACUUUGGAAAGAGAGUGAAAAAGCACGUGAAAUUGUUGAAAGGGAAGCGCUUGCAGCCAGACGUGCCCGCAGUUGAUCAUCCAGGCUCCGGCCCGGUGCACUCCUCCGCGGGCAGGCCAGCAUCAGUUCGGGCGGUCGGAUAAAGGCCUCUGUCAUGUACCACCCCCCGGGGUGGCCUUAUAGGGGAGGCGCAACACGGCCAGCCCGGACUGAGGUUCCGCGCAUCUGCUAGGAUGCUGGCGUAAUGGCGGCAAGCGGCCCGUCUUGAAACACGGACCAAGGAGUCUAACAUCUAUGCGAGUGUUUGGGUGUCAAGCCCGAGCGCGGAAUGAAAGUGAACGGAGGUGGGAACCCUUACCGGUGCACCAUCGACCGAUCCUGAUGUCUUCGGAUGGAUUUGAGUAAGAGCAUAGCUGUUGGGACCCGAAAGAUGGUGAACUAUGCCUGAAUAGGGUGAAGCCAGAGGAAACUCUGGUGGAGGCUCGCAGCGGUUCUGACGUGCAAAUCGAUCGUCAAAUUUGGGCAUAGGGGGCGAAAGACUAAUCGAACCAUCU